Molecule: ribosomal RNA, 707 nt
Filed under: alpha proteobacterium SY163
Lineage: Bacteria; Pseudomonadati; Pseudomonadota; Alphaproteobacteria
Description: partial 16S ribosomal RNA
Rfam family: Bacterial small subunit ribosomal RNA
Source: RNAcentral
AACGAAGGCUUCGGCCUUAGUGGCGCACGGGUGCGUAACGCGUGGGAAUCUGCCCCUUGGUUCGGAAUAACAGUUAGAAAUGACUGCUAAUACCGGAUGAUGACGUAAGUCCAAAGAUUUAUCGCCGAGGGANGAGCCCGCNNANNNNNUANCUAGUUGGUGUGGUAAGAGCGCACCAAGGCGACGAUCCUUAGCUGGUCUGAGAGGAUGAUCAGCCACACUGGGACUGAGACACGGCCCAGACUCCUACGGGAGGCAGCAGUGGGGAAUAUUGGACAAUGGGCGAAAGCCUGAUCCAGCAAUGCCGCGUGAGUGAUGAAGGCCUUAGGGUUGUAAAGCUCUUUUACCCGGGAUGAUAAUGACAGUACCGGGAGAAUAAGCUCCGGCUAACUCCGUGCCAGCAGCCGCGGUAAUACGGAGGGAGCUAGCGUUAUUCGGAAUUACUGGGCGUAAAGCGCACGUAGGCGGCUUUGUAAGUAAGAGGUGAAAGCCCAGAGCUCAACUCUGGAAUUGCCUUUUAGACUGCAUCGCUUGAAUCAUGGAGAGGUCAGUGGAAUUCCGAGUGNAGAGGUGAAAUUCGUAGANNUUCGGAAGAACACCAGUGGCGAAGGCGGCUGACUGGACAUGUAUUGACGCUGANGUGCGAAAGCGUGGGGGAGCAAACAGGANUAGAUACCCUGGUAGUCCACGCCGUAAACNAUGANNAC